Non-coding RNA from Podarcis lilfordi (Lilford's wall lizard), 131 nucleotides. NCBI's taxonomy places the organism in Eukaryota, Metazoa, Chordata, Lepidosauria, Squamata, Lacertidae. The record is from the annotation of a GenBank genome assembly.
GUAUAGUCUAUCCUUCUCUCUCUCUCUCUGUUUCUGUUUCUCUCUCUCUCUCUCUCUCUCUCUGUGUGUGUGUGUGUGUGUGUGAGAGAGAGAGAGAGAGAGAGAGAGAGAGAGAGAGAAAGAGAAAUUAU